GUUAUAUGGUCAAGUGAAGAAGCGCAUACGGUGGAUGCCUUGGCAGUCAGAGGCGAUGAAAGACGUGGUAGCCUGCGAAAAGCUUCGGGGAGUCGGCAAACAGACUGUGAUCCGGAGAUGUCUGAAUGGGGGAACCCAGCCAUCAUAAGAUGGUUAUCACACACUGAAUACAUAGGUGUGUGAGGCGAACCAGGGGGAACUGAAACAUCUAAGUACCCUGAGGAAAAGAAAUCAACCGAGAUUCCCUUAGUAGUGGCGAGCGAACGGGGACUAGCCCUUAAGUUGAUUUGAGAUUAGCGGAACGCUCUGGAAAGUGCGGCCAUAGUGGGUGAUAGCCCUGUACGCGAAAAUCUCUUAUCAAUGAAAUCGAGUAGGACGGAGCACGAGAAACUUUGUCUGAAUAUGGGGGGACCAUCCUCCAAGGCUAAAUACUACUGACUGACCGAUAGUGAACCAGUACCGUGAGGGAAAGGCGAAAAGAACCCCGGAGAGGGGAGUGAAAUAGAACCUGAAACCGUAUGCGUACAAGCAGUGGGAGCCUACUUUGUUAGGUGACUGCGUACCUUUUGUAUAAUGGGUCAGCGACUUAUUUUCAGUGGCGAGCUUAACCGAAUAGGGGAGGCGUAGCGAAAGCGAGUCUUAAUAGGGCGUCUAGUCGCUGGGAAUAGACCCGAAACCGGGCGAUCUAUCCAUGGGCAGGUUGAAGGUUGGGUAACACUAACUGGAGGACCGAACCGACUACCGUUGAAAAGUUAGCGGAUGACCUGUGGAUCGGAGUGAAAGGCUAAUCAAGCUCGGAGAUAGCUGGUUCUCCUCGAAAGCUAUUUAGGUAGCGCCUCGUGUAUCACUGCUGGGGGUAGAGCACUGUUUCGGCUAGGGGGUCAUCCCGACUUACCAAACCGAUGCAAACUCCGAAUACCAGCAAGUGUCAGCACGGGAGACACACGGCGGGUGCUAACGUCCGUCGUGAAAAGGGAAACAACCCAGACCGUCAGCUAAGGUCCCAAAAUCCUGGUUAAGUGGGAAACGAUGUGGGAAGGCUUAGACAGCUAGGAGGUUGGCUUAGAAGCAGCCAUCCUUUAAAGAAAGCGUAAUAGCUCACUAGUCGAGUCGGCCUGCGCGGAAGAUGUAACGGGGCUCAAACCAGGUACCGAAGCUACGGGUUCAUCGUAAGAUGAGCGGUAGAGGAGCGUUGUGUAAGCCUGUGAAGGUGAGUUGAGAAGCUUGCUGGAGGUAUCACAAGUGCGAAUGCUGACAUGAGUAACGACAAUGCGAGUGAAAAACUCGCACGCCGAAAGACCAAGGGUUCCUGCGCAACGUUAAUCGACGCAGGGUGAGUCGGUCCCUAAGGCGAGGCUGAAGAGCGUAGUCGAUGGGAAACGGGUUAAUAUUCCCGUACUUCUGGUUACUGCGAUGGGGGGACGGAGAAGGCUAGGCCAGCUUGGCGUUGGUUGUCCAAGUUUAAGGUGGUAGGCAGAGAUCUUAGGUAAAUCCGGGAUCUUAAUGCCGAGAACUGAUGACGAUCCUUCUUUUAGAAGGAGAAGUGGUUGAUGCCAUGCUUCCAGGAAAAGCCUCUAAGCUUCAGGUAAUCAGGAACCGUACCCCAAACCGACACAGGUGGUUGGGUAGAGAAUACCAAGGCGCUUGAGAGAACUCGGGUGAAGGAACUAGGCAAAAUGGCACCGUAACUUCGGGAGAAGGUGCGCCGGUGAGGGUGAAGGGUUUACCCCGUAAGCUCAUGCCGGUCGAAGAUACCAGGCCGCUGCGACUGUUUAUUAAAAAACACAGCACUCUGCAAACACGAAAGUGGACGUAUAGGGUGUGACGCCUGCCCGGUGCCGGAAGGUUAAUUGAUGGGGUUAGCGCAAGCGAAGCUCUUGAUCGAAGCCCCGGUAAACGGCGGCCGUAACUAUAACGGUCCUAAGGUAGCGAAAUUCCUUGUCGGGUAAGUUCCGACCUGCACGAAUGGCGUAACGAUGGCGGCGCUGUCUCCACCCGAGACUCAGUGAAAUUGAAAUCGCUGUGAAGAUGCAGUGUAUCCGCGGCUAGACGGAAAGACCCCGUGAACCUUUACUAUAGCUUUGCACUGGACUUUGAAUUUGCUUGUGUAGGAUAGGUGGGAGGCUUUGAAGCGUGGACGCCAGUUCGCGUGGAGCCAUCCUUGAAAUACCACCCUGGCAACUUUGAGGUUCUAACUCUGGUCCGUUAUCCGGAUCGAGGACAGUGUAUGGUGGGUAGUUUGACUGGGGCGGUCUCCUCCUAAAGAGUAACGGAGGAGUACGAAGGUGCGCUCAGACCGGUCGGAAAUCGGUCGUAGAGUAUAAAGGCAAAAGCGCGCUUGACUGCGAGACAGACACGUCGAGCAGGUACGAAAGUAGGUCUUAGUGAUCCGGUGGUUCUGUAUGGAAGGGCCAUCGCUCAACGGAUAAAAGGUACUCCGGGGAUAACAGGCUGAUACCGCCCAAGAGUUCAUAUCGACGGCGGUGUUUGGCACCUCGAUGUCGGCUCAUCACAUCCUGGGGCUGAAGCCGGUCCCAAGGGUAUGGCUGUUCGCCAUUUAAAGUGGUACGCGAGCUGGGUUUAGAACGUCGUGAGACAGUUCGGUCCCUAUCUGCCGUGGACGUUUGAGAUUUGAGAGGGGCUGCUCCUAGUACGAGAGGACCGGAGUGGACGAACCUCUGGUGUUCCGGUUGUCACGCCAGUGGCAUUGCCGGGUAGCUAUGUUCGGAAGAGAUAACCGCUGAAAGCAUCUAAGCGGGAAACUUGCCUCAAGAUGAGAUCUCACUGGAGCCUUGAGCUCCCUGAAGGGCCGUCGAAGACUACGACGUUGAUAGGUGGGGUGUGUAAGCGUUGUGAGGCGUUGAGCUAACCCAUACUAAUUGCCCGUGAGGCUUGACCAUAUAACACCCAAACAAUU
This 2917-nucleotide ribosomal RNA is filed under the name Pseudomonas sp. MTM4. RNAcentral's name for it is "23S ribosomal RNA". It matches the Rfam family "Bacterial large subunit ribosomal RNA". The record is from RNAcentral. Lineage: Bacteria; Pseudomonadati; Pseudomonadota; Gammaproteobacteria; Pseudomonadales; Pseudomonadaceae.